Molecule: ribosomal RNA, 508 nt
Filed under: uncultured bacterium
Lineage: Bacteria
Description: partial 16S ribosomal RNA
Rfam family: Bacterial small subunit ribosomal RNA
Source: RNAcentral
GAUGAACGCUAGCUACAGGCUUAACACAUGCAAGUCGAGGGGAAACGGUAUUGGAAGCUUGCUUCCGAUAGGCGUCGACCGGCGCACGGGUGAGUAACGCGUAUCCAACCUGCCCACCACUUGGGGAUAACCUUGCGAAAGUAAGACUAAUACCCAAUGACGUCUCUAGAAGACAUCUGAAAGAGAUUAAAGAUUUAUCGGUGAUGGAUGGGGAUGCGUCUGAUUAGCUUGUUGGCGGGGUAACGGCCCACCAAGGCUACGAUCAGUAGGGGUUCUGAGAGGAAGGUCCCCCACAUUGGAACUGAGACACGGUCCAAACUACUACGGGAGGCAGCAGUGAGGAAUAGUGGUCAAUGGGCGAGAGCCUGAACCAGCCAAGUAGCGUGCAGGAUGACGGCCCUAUGGGUUGUAAACUGCUUUUAUAAGGGAAUAAGGUGAGUCUCGUGAGACUUUUUGCAUGUACCUUAUGAAUAAGGACCGGCUAAUUCCGUGCCAGCCGCCGCAGUAA